CGGGAGUAUUACCCUACAAACUUUUUCAUUCUCUGUAUAUCUCAUCUUCUCUCUCUUAUUCUCUCGUCAGGACAAAACCCAACUACCUCCAUCUACAUUUUUUCCGGCAGCCUCCAUCACCAUUUUUUCCGGCCACCGUUACUCCGUUAUGAACAUUUAUCAAAUCUGAAACUACCACAACAACCACCACUAAAAACCACCACAUACGUCAUAGCUAUCACCAUCUACAAAGUUGUCUUGACCUGCACCACACAACCUAUUCUUCGCCACUUUCUGUUAUCGUUUGUCUCUCGAUAUCUACAGGCGUCACCUUCUGUUUGUCGCACUAGAUUGGCUUCCAGUCAACGUACCAGAUCCACAUCUGUAGCCUUCAAAUCUGAGAAAUUCUUACCUCCGAUGGUUAGAUCAUGAAGCCAUCGUUUCCGUUCAUGAUUCUGUUGACUUUACAUUGUGUAUUUCUCACAUCUGGUUAGAUCUAAGUGAUUCCGGUGGUUUUUUGGUGUCUCCAAUGGUGUUGUAGUCCAGAUCUGCCUAUAUCUAGUUUGAUCUCUGUGGUCGCCAUUGUUUCUUUGCGAGAUUGGCUAAGUUCGACUGUUUUUGUUCAAAAUGUGAUGGAUAUUGUGUUAAUGAACUCCAGCAAGGACAACUCGGCUAUUUGAGUAUGUUUGAUAUUUUCCUGUGAACUCAAAUGGAGGUAUGGUCACAUAAUUCUAUUUUGCCUUGGUAAAAGAGAAGUAUUGGAUUAAUUGAUUUAUUCUAAAAGCUGUAAAGAAAAAAAAGAACAACAUAAAUGAUGGUGUUUCAUUUCUCGAGGAAUUCUUCCAUACAUAUUAAUUACUUAGAAUAUUAGUUAAUGUAGGUGAAAUAGAUGUUUUUGUGAUUAAUUCUCAAUAAUGGUUAUAUUACUUUGUGCUAGUGUAUAUGUACAUAUAAUAAAAUAAAAUUUUAUCAUAUACGAUAUAUUUGUGUGUUAAGUAAAUUUUGUUACGUUGAUAAACGAAGCUAACAUGUGUGUAUGAUUUUUUUUUUAUAUUUAUACAGUGAGGUUAGGUGUUAAUCGAAUUGUAUAAUUAGAACAAAUGUAGAUAUAUACAAUUAAAUAUUAGUAUUAAUUAGACCGACGAGACAAAUUUUUAAUACAUAAAUAAUAUCAAAUUUUUUGGAUUAAUGUAUGAAAACUAAUAUAUGAAUUGUAUUAAGUUUUAUUAAAUUGUGAAUAAAUUAUGUCUUAAGCUGUGAAUUGGUUAUAAAAUUUAUUUAAAAUAUGAAUAAUUUAUGUAUGAAUGUUUGUAUUAAUUUUCUUGUAAACAUACAUAUUUGUUGUAUUAUGUUGUGAAUUGAAUUUAGAAUGUGAUAUAUUAUGUUAAUGUUUUUUAAAAUAAUAUGAAUUUUUGUUGUAUUAUGUUGUGAAUUGAAUUUAGAAUGUGAUAUAUUAUGUUAAUGUUUUUUCAAAUAAUAUGAAUUUUUAAAACUGUGAAUUGUGAUGUUUUAAUGUUUCAACUAUUGUUUAGUUUUUUUUAAUGUUAGUUUUAACUCUUAUUAAUAACAAUAUAAGUUUUAAGCCAUGAAUACAUAAGUUUUUAUAUGUUUUAAGCUUUGAAUUAGUGUCUGAACAAGUCUAUUACGAUGAGAAUAUAGUUGUUAAUGUACAAUUUAUGUAUUAAAUCGUAAAUUUAUUAUAUUAAGUUGUAUAUUUUGUGUAUUAAACUGUGAAUUGAAUAUAUUAAGUUGUAAAUUAACCAUAUUAAACUAUGAACUUUGGGUAUUAAACUGUGAAUUUAUUAUAUUAUGCUAUGAAUUUUGUGCAUUAAGCUAUGAAUUGACUAUAUUAAGUUGUGAAUUCUUUUAUGAAUUUGGUGUGUUUUUAUUUUAUUUUAUUUUUUAUUUUUUGAAUUUUAUGUUUUCUUUGAAAUAUGAGAUGAAAAAAUCAGUAUAAACAAUUAUGAUUUUUUUUUUCUAAUUUUGAAUAAAGUAUGUGAAAUUUAAACUUUAAGUUUUUAGUUAAGAAUAUGGUUGUGAAGUAUAAUAAUUUUGUGUAUUAAAUUGUGAACCGACUAUAUUAAGUUGUUAUUAUUAUUUUUUUUGUUAAAAUAUGAAUGCUUUAUUAAACUAUGAAUUCUAUUUUUUUAUCAAGAUUUGAAUUUUAUACCUAUAAAAUAGUUGUGAACAUAGUGUAUUAAACUGUGAAUAGGUGUUUUUAUGCAUUAAAUUGUGAAUAUGUAAGUUAAGUUAUGCAUGUGUUUUUGUUUAUGCACUAACUUGUGAAUUAGUGUCUGAAAUAUUGAAUUAAGUUUUGAAUUAGUGUCUGAAAUAUUAAAUUAAGUUGUGAAUUAGUAUCUGAAAUAAUGAAUUAAACUGCGAAUUUUGUUUUUUAAUCCUUUUUUGAUUUUUUAGGGAAUGAUGUUGUUGGUGUUGACAUUGAUGCUUUGUGGUGACGAUGGUUGAUGACAACGUAUGGUAGACUGGUACUUGGCAGUGUUAAUGGUGGCGAUAGUGGAAGAGUAAUGAUAUUUUCUAUUUCUCACUCAUCAUCUUUGUUGAUUUCAGAUAAGUUAUCCUUUUUUAAGAUUCAAGUAUAUAUUUUUCUUUUGAUGUUUUCUUAUGAAGUAUGAGAUAACUUAUGUAUGUAUUAAAAUAUAAAUGAGUUUUUCAUACACUGAAAUAUGAGAUUAUACUUGUAAAUAAGUUGUGAAUAUAUUGUAUUAAACUGUGAAUUUGCUGUGUUAAGCUGUAAAUUUGCUCACAGCUUAGUAUAAUAAAUUCACAAUUUAAUAGAUAAAAAUGUCUCUAAAUAUGAACAUAUAACUGUUAGUAUUAAGUUAAAAAAAUAUAGCCGUGCAUAUAUAUUUUUUGUGUAUCAAACUAUGAAUUACUGUAUUAAGUUGUGAAUUUUAUGUAUUAAACUGUGAAAUGAUUGUAUUAAGCUGUGAAUUGACUGUAUUAAGAUUUGAAAUUUUUAUGAAUUUUGUAUUUGCUUCUGAAAUAUGAGAAGAAAGAAUCAUUAUACAUAUAUAUGAUUUUCUCUAAUUUUAACAAAAUUAUAUAAAAUUUAAAUUGUGAAUAUUAUGUACAUUAAAUUUUGAAAAACACCAACCGUUAGAUCUAAAUGUAUAAAUGUAUGUUUUUAAGUUAAGAAUAUGAUAUUUUUAUGUAUUAAAGUUUUAAUUUUUUAUAUUAAGAUUUAAAUUUUAUAUAUUAAACGAUAAUUGAGUAUAUUAAAUGAUGAAUUGACUACAUGUUGCUGUGAUUUUUUUUAAUAAUUUUUUUAAUAAAAUAUGAAUGAUUUAUGUAAAAAAAAUUGUAUUAAUUUCUUGUAAAUAUAUUUAUUUUUAAUUUUAUAUAAGUAUGUAAGAAUGCCUUAGCUUUUAUAAUUAUUUUGCAUUAAAUUCAAAAUGGAUGAAUAAACUAGUUUAUUAAACUAUGAAUGUAGUAUUUAACAUGUCAUUGUCUGACUUUAUAUGCAUAUCUCAUUUGGAAGAAAGAGAUGUUGCAAUGUUGACACAAGUGGUUGGUGGCGGCAUUUGGUGGUGGUAAAGUUUGGGUUUGAUUUCUAUGAAUUUGAGAAUUAGUGUAAAAUAAGUUCUGUUAAGUUGUGAAUUUUAUGUAUUAAACUGUAAAUGGACUGUAUAAAGUUGUAUUUUAUAAAAGUUUUGUGUUAAAAUAUAAAUGAAUGCAUGCACGGAAGUAUUAGACUAAAAAAAUUUACGAUUUUGCCAUUUUCUUACCAAAAAGCCAAAAAUCAGGAUUUUAACAAACUUGAUAAUACUCACAAUAUAUAUUUAGUUAUUAAAUGAGGUUCUUAGGGUUCUUAAUCUUUUGUGGUUCUCAUUUGAACCACUC
RNAcentral lists this long non-coding RNA (3840 nucleotides) under Lactuca sativa (garden lettuce). RNAcentral's name for it is "long non-coding RNA (LSAT_LNC000908)". The record is from RNAcentral. Lineage: Eukaryota; Viridiplantae; Streptophyta; Magnoliopsida; Asterales; Asteraceae.